AGUGAACGCUGGCGGUAGGCCUAACACAUGCAAGUCGAACGGCAGCACAGUAAGAUCUUGCUCUUACGGGUGGCGAGUGGCGGACGGGUGAGGAAUACAUCGGAAUCUACUUUUUCGUGGGGGUUAACGUAGGGAAACUUACGCUAAUACCGCAUACGACCUACGGGUGAAAGCAGGGGAUCUUCUGACCUUGCGCGAUUGAAUGAGCCGAUGUCGGAUUAGCUAGUUGGCGGGGUAAAGGCCCACCAAGGCGACGAUCCGUAGCUGGUCUGAGAGGAUGAUCAGCCACACUGGAACUGAGACACGGUCCAGACUCCUACGGGAGGAAGCAGUGGGGAAUAUUGGACAAUGGGCGCAAGCCUGAUCCAGCCAUACCGCGUGGGUGAAGAAGGCCUUCGGGUUGUAAAGCCCUUUUGUUGGGAAAGAAAAGCAGCAGGUUAAUACCCCGCUGUUCUGACGGUACCAAAAGAAUAAGCACCGGCUAACUUCGUG
This 492-nucleotide ribosomal RNA is filed under the name uncultured bacterium. RNAcentral describes it as "partial 16S ribosomal RNA". It matches the Rfam family "Bacterial small subunit ribosomal RNA", at positions 29 to 507 of the family's 1533-position model. The record is from RNAcentral.